RNAcentral lists this ribosomal RNA (89 nucleotides) under uncultured bacterium. Its description in RNAcentral is "partial 16S ribosomal RNA". The record is from RNAcentral.
CCCGAAGUACGUUAGUCUAACCUGUUUGGAGGACGGGCUCCCACAUUGUAUAAUUAAUGACUGGGGUGAAGUCGUAACAAGGUAACCAA